CCUACGGGUGGCAGCAGUGAGGAAUAUUGGUCAAUGGACGCAAGUCUGAACCAGCCAUGCCGCGUGCAGAAAGACGGCUCUAUGAGUUGUAAACUGCUUUUGUACGAGGGUAAACGCAGAUACGAGUAUCUGUCUGAAAGUAUCGUACGAAUAAGGCUCGGCUAACUCCGUGCCAGCAGCCGCGGUAAUACGGAGGAUUCAAGCGUUAUCCGGAUUGAUUGGGUUUAAAGGGUGCGUAGGCGGUCUGAUAAGUUAGAGGUUGAAUCCCGCGGCUCAACUUCUGAAUUGCGUGUGAUACUGUUCGGCUAGAGAGUAGUUGCGGUAGGCGGAAUGUAUGGUGUAGCGGUGAAAUGCUUAGAGAUCAUACAGAACACCGAUUGCGAAGGCAGCUUACCAGGCUACUUCUGACGUUGAGGCACGAAAGCGUGGGGAGCAAACAGGAUUAGAUACCCGUGUAGUC
Molecule: ribosomal RNA, 460 nt
Filed under: uncultured bacterium
Lineage: Bacteria
Description: partial 16S ribosomal RNA
Rfam family: Bacterial small subunit ribosomal RNA
Source: RNAcentral